UGAAAACACCAUAAUGAUGAAACAUCAUAAUGAUGUUUCUUUGGUGGAAUUGUUUUUCAUUUCCCCUAACACCCGGAAUUGGUUUUCAAUAUAAGACCAUCAUCUGUAGCUCGAAUCACAAAGUUGUCUUCAUGAAAGUUGUUCUUUAAUUCCUUAACUACAACAUAUCCAAAUUUGAGAGCCAUCAGAUCAGUACAACUCUAGAAAUUCAGGUACGACGAGUGAUUGUUCAUCAUUUGUCUGUCAACACGUCAGACCUGUUGUGAGCUUCAAAAAAUCCAUUUUCUCUUGCUUAGAUCAACAUACUUUCUUCAUCGAAGUUGUUCCUCAGCUUGUGAACUACAACAUAUCCAAAUUUGAGAUCCCUCGGAGCAGUAUAACUCCAGAAAUCCAGGUAUGAUGAAUGACUGGUUAUUAUUUUUCUGUCAACCCGUCAGAUUUGUUGUGAGCUUCGAAACUCCAUUUUCUCUUGUUCAGAUCGGUAUGAUUUCUUCAUUGAAGUUGUUCCUCAUCGUCUCUUUCAUAACAUAUCAAAAAUU
This 539-nucleotide long non-coding RNA is filed under the name Malus domestica (apple). RNAcentral's name for it is "long non-coding RNA (MDOM_LNC016050)". Lineage: Eukaryota; Viridiplantae; Streptophyta; Magnoliopsida; Rosales; Rosaceae. The record is from RNAcentral.